GAUCACUUCUACGACUAUGUUCAAGGCCUACUUGAUGGACUUGAGGCAGGCAUUGAUUCACGUGAUAUUGUUAACAUUCAAAAUUGGCAAAGCUGCUUAUGGAAUGUUGAAAGACAAGGCUGAGAAUACAAAGAAGUGGGAAGGAAGAAAGAUCCUCUUCGUACACACAGGUGGGUUACUUGGGUUGUUUGACAAGGUAGAGCAGAUGGCUCCAUCGUUGGGAAAUUGGCUUCGGAUGGAUGUCCAAGAAUCUGUUCACCGGAGCGAUGGUAUUGGGAAAAUGUUCUAGUGUCGAAAUAAAGCAAAGAAAAGAGUCCAGUGCUCUAUUAAUAGAGAUGAGAUCAAAAUCCUCAAUCAUUGUAUACUGUACUGAAUGAUGCAUAAGAAACGAUCUCAUAUCAAAUAAGAUAAUUACAGGAGGUUUGUAUUUCGUUGUGAUUUAAUGGUGUAUGGUUUGUGAAAAUGGAUGUAUAAUUGUUGUUUCUGUUC
This is a long non-coding RNA of Prunus dulcis (almond), 489 nucleotides long. RefSeq lists it as uncharacterized. The transcript is spliced from 2 exons. The record is from RefSeq and is a predicted model, not a curated record. Lineage: Eukaryota; Viridiplantae; Streptophyta; Magnoliopsida; Rosales; Rosaceae.